RNAcentral lists this non-coding RNA (148 nucleotides) under Gorilla gorilla gorilla (western lowland gorilla). Lineage: Eukaryota; Metazoa; Chordata; Mammalia; Primates; Hominidae. The record is from Rfam by way of RNAcentral.
GCCUGGUACAAUGGCAGGUGCCUGUAAUCCCAGCUACUCGGGAGGCUGAGGCAGGAGAAUCACUUGAACCCAGGGGGCAGGGGUUGCAGUGAGCCGAGAUCAUGCCACUGCAUUCCAGCCUGGGUGACAGAGUGAGAUUCUGUCUCAA